RNAcentral lists this ribosomal RNA (510 nucleotides) under Cerylambus reticulatus. RNAcentral describes it as "partial 16S ribosomal RNA". The stretch from base 379 to 510 matches the Rfam family "Bacterial large subunit ribosomal RNA", at positions 2473 to 2605 of the family's 2925-position model. The record is from RNAcentral. Lineage: Eukaryota; Metazoa; Arthropoda; Insecta; Coleoptera; Staphylinidae.
GUCUUUUUGAUUAUAAUAUAAAGUCUAAUCUGCCCAUUGAUUGUUUUUAAAGGCCGCAGUAUUUUGACUGUGCAAAGGUAGCAUAAUAAUUAGUUUUUUAAUUGAAAGCUGGAAUGAAUGAUUUAAUGAGAAAAAUACUGUCUCUUUUUUAAUUUUAGAAUUUUAUUUUUAAGUUAAAAAGCUUAAAUUUUAUAAAAAGACGAGAAGACCCUAUAGAGUUUAUAUAUAAUUAUAAAGUAAUUUUUUUUUAUUCUAUUUUUACUUUUAAUUAUAUUUUGUUGGGGUGACAGAAAAGUUUAUAAAACCUUUUUAUUAAAUAAAACAUUUUUAAUUGGAUUAUUGAUCCUAAAAAAGAUUAUUAGAUUAAAUUACCUUAGGGAUAACAGCGUAAUUUUUUUGGAGAGUUCAUAUCUAUAAAAAAGUUUGCGACCUCGAUGUUGGAUUAAGGUUUUAUUUAAGUGUAGAAGUUUAAAUUUUAAGUCUGUUCGACUUUUAAAAUCUUACAUGAUC